ACAUUUAUAUGCUAACUAAAUAUUGAACUUUUCAGGCCCUCAGUGAAAGCGAUUCGGACGAGGAAAGCGAUUGGGAUGAGGAAAGUACGGAUGUUAGUAGUGAUGAUGAUGAAAGCGAUUCGGAUGAGGAAAGUGAUUCGGAUGAGGAAAGUACGGAAGUUAGUAGUGAUGAUGAAGUCGAUUCCAAAACUUCGACUGGAACUCACGACGAAAAGGUAAAUAUCCCAUUUCAACAUUGUAGUUUAGAUAUUUCGAAAAAAUUCUAGGGUUUGACACGUACUACCACUACUACUACUACUACAACUACGUAUCCAAUCUGUGUAAGUACUAUAAUGACCUCGGAACUAAACCCGUUAUUUUCUUGCGGCGAUUCAUAUGUAUACUCCAUUGUUUCUAUUGUGUAUGGCAGUGUGUUUGUGUAAAAUCUGAAAGCUCUUCACCUUCUGAGAAACCUAAGUAUCGGCCAAAGAAAGGGGAUAGAGUGAAGUACGUGGGGCAGACCCUCGAAACAGAGAACACCAAUACUCAAAUACGAAAGAUCUUGUAUAAUGACCAAAGAGGGGAGGUGCUUAAAGUAAAUGGUGACAAAGUAGACGUUAUCUUCUCCGUGGGAAUCGGAUCACGCAGAAACGACGAGGGAAUCUCGGAAAGAUUUAUACAACAAUCAGCAGUUUAUUCCCUUGAUGGUACAUGCAUUGUCUUUAUACAUUACGAAUGCAGUUAAAAGUAGUUUAUAUCAUCAUUUUUUUUAGUAAUUAUUUAUCCACGAAAAACGUCGAAAUUUUUCGUUUUAAUUUGCAGUGAAGGACAUUGUACGAGAUCCCAGUGCCAAAACUCACGACUGCUUUGUUGCUUUGGAAAUGAUUUGCGAGGUACUAUUUUUCAGAUAUUGCAAAAUGACAUAACGUACGUAACCCCAUCACACACCAAGUUUAAUUUAGCGCCCGUUUGGGUAAGCUUAUUAUAAACUGCUGAUAAGUUCUAACAUCUGAUAAGCGCCUGAAGAGCUGAUAAGUUGCUACGUCUUACAGUGUUUUCGGAUAAUGAGCUUAUAAAAUUAUUUUCACACUCAUUAUAAGAUCUUAAAUAA
Molecule: non-coding RNA, 1090 nt
Organism: Erythranthe guttata (spotted monkey flower)
Lineage: Eukaryota; Viridiplantae; Streptophyta; Magnoliopsida; Lamiales; Phrymaceae
Source: RefSeq, a predicted model, not a curated record